GACGAACGCUGGCGGCGUGCCUAACACAUGCAAGUCGAACGAGAAAUAUGAUAUUGAUUCCUUCGGGAUGAUUUAGAUUAUGGACAGUGGCGGACGGGCGAGUAACGCGUGAGUAACCUGCCCAUAAGAGAGGGAUAGCCGAUGGAAACGUCGAGUAAUACCUCAUAUUGUAAUUUAAUCGCAUGGUUGAAUUAUGAAAGAUUUAUCGCUUAUGGAUGGACUCGCGUCUGAUUAGAUAGUUGGUGAGGUAACGGCUCACCAAGUCGACGAUCAGUAGCCGAACUGAGAGGUUGAUCGGCCGCAUUGGGACUGAGACACGGCCCAGACUCCUACGGGAGGCAGCAGUGGGGAAUAUUGCGCAAUGGGGGGAACCCUGACGCAACAACGCCGCGUGCAGGAAGAAGGUCUUCGGAUUGUAAACUGUUGUCGCAAGGGAAGAAGAAAGUGACGGUACCUUGUGAGAAAGUCACGGCUAACUAC
Molecule: ribosomal RNA, 480 nt
Filed under: uncultured bacterium
Lineage: Bacteria
Description: bacterial SSU rRNA
Rfam family: Bacterial small subunit ribosomal RNA
Source: RNAcentral